GCCUAGCUAGCUCAGUUGGUAGAGCACCGUAAGUACAAUAUUCCUCCCCCCAAAAGCCUUCUCUAUGUACAGUAUGUUUGAUAUAUAUCUCCGGGCGGGGAGAUCUAGGCGGGGCACCAUGCAUGCCGUUGAAAGACAGCGCGAUGCGCAGGUUAGGAAGAAUAGGUACCGAUACAUAGAGAUAGGGGUUGAGGGGAGGAGAGCGUAACAAUGUACGUUGUUGCGGGGUCGCAGGUUCGAAUCCUGCGCUGGGCG
Non-coding RNA from Terfezia boudieri ATCC MYA-4762, 255 nucleotides. The record is from the annotation of a GenBank genome assembly. NCBI's taxonomy places the organism in Eukaryota, Fungi, Ascomycota, Pezizomycetes, Pezizales, Pezizaceae.